RNAcentral lists this ribosomal RNA (1444 nucleotides) under uncultured organism. RNAcentral describes it as "SSU rRNA". It matches the Rfam family "Bacterial small subunit ribosomal RNA". The record is from RNAcentral.
ACGCUAGCUACAGGCUUAACACAUGCAAGUCGAGGGGCAGCAUGGUCUUAGCUUGCUAAGGCCGAUGGCGACCGGCGCACGGGUGAGUAACACGUAUCCAACCUGCCGUCUACUCUUGGACAGCCUUCUGAAAGGAAGAUUAAUACAAGAUGGCAUCAUGAGUCCGCAUGUUCACAUGAUUAAAGGUAUUCCGGUAGACGAUGGGGAUGCGUUCCAUUAGAUAGUAGGCGGGGUAACGGCCCACCUAGUCUUCGAUGGAUAGGGGUUCUGAGAGGAAGGUCCCCCACAUUGGAACUGAGACACGGUCCAAACUCCUACGGGAGGCAGCAGUGAGGAAUAUUGGUCAAUGGGCGAGAGCCUGAACCAGCCAAGUAGCGUGAAGGAUGACUGCCCUAUGGGUUGUAAACUUCUUUUAUAAAGGAAUAAAGUCGGGUAUGGAUACCCGUUUGCAUGUACUUUAUGAAUAAGGAUCGGCUAACUCCGUGCCAGCAGCCGCGGUAAUACGGAGGAUCCGAGCGUUAUCCGGAUUUAUUGGGUUUAAAGGGAGCGUAGAUGGAUGUUUAAGUCAGUUGUGAAAGUUUGCGGCUCAACCGUAAAAUUGCAGUUGAUACUGGAUAUCUUGAGUGCAGUUGAGGCAGGCGGAAUUCGUGGUGUAGCGGUGAAAUGCUUAGAUAUCACGAAGAACUCCGAUUGCGAAGGCAGCCUGCUAAGCUGCAACUGACAUUGAGGCUCGAAAGUGUGGGUAUCAAACAGGAUUAGAUACCCUGGUAGUCCACACGGUAAACGAUGAAUACUCGCUGUUUGCGAUAUACGGCAAGCGGCCAAGCGAAAGCGUUAAGUAUUCCACCUGGGGAGUACGCCGGCAACGGUGAAACUCAAAGGAAUUGACGGGGGCCCGCACAAGCGGAGGAACAUGUGGUUUAAUUCGAUGAUACGCGAGGAACCCUACCCGGGCUUAAAUUGCAGAUGAAUUACGGUGAAAGCCGUAAGCCGCAAGGCAUCUGUGAAGGUGCUGCAUGGUUGUCGUCAGCUCGUGCCGUGAGGUGUCGGCUUAAGUGCCAUAACGAGCGCAACCCUUGUUGUCAGUUACUAACAGGUUCCGCUGAGGACUCUGACAGGACUGCCAUCGUAAGAUGUGAGGAAGGUGGGGAUGACGUCAAAUCAGCACGGCCCUUACGUCCGGGGCUACACACGUGUUACAAUGGGGGGUACAGAGGGCCGCUACCACGCGAGUGGAUGCCAAUCCCCAAAACCUCUCUCAGUUCGGACUGGAGUCUGCAACCCGACUCCACGAAGCUGGAUUCGCUAGUAAUCGCGCAUCAGCCACGGCGCGGUGAAUACGUUCCCGGGCCUUGUACACACCGCCCGUCAAGCCAUGGGAGCCGGGGGUACCUGAAGUGCGUAACCGCGAGGAGCGCCCUAGGGUAAAACUGGUGACUGGGGC